GGUAGUAUGGCCGAGAGCUAGGCAAUGAGCUGUAGACUCAUAGAGGGGCCAAAGAGGAGGUCCUGCUACCA
Molecule: transfer RNA, 71 nt
Filed under: Gehyra sp. MPH-2011
Lineage: Eukaryota; Metazoa; Chordata; Lepidosauria; Squamata; Gekkonidae
Description: tRNA-Tyr
Source: RNAcentral